AUACGUAUGUCGCAAGCGUUAUCCGGAUUUAUUGGGCGUAAAGCGCGUCUAGGCGGCUUAGUAAGUCUGAUGUGAAAAUGCGGGGCUCAACCCCGUAUUGCGUUGGAAACUGCUAAACUAGAGUACUGGAGAGGUCGGCGGAACUACAAGUGUAGGGGUGAAAUUCGUAGAUAUUUGUAGGAAUGCCGAUGGGGAAGCCAGCCUACUGGACAGAUACUGACGCUAAAGCGCGAAAGCGUGGGUAGCAAACAGGAUUAGAUACCCUGGUAGUCCACGCCGUAAACGAUGAUUACUAGGUGUUGGGGGUCGAACCUCAGCGCCCAAGCUAACGCGAUAAGUAAUCCGCCUGGGGAGUACGUACGCAAGUAUGAAACUUAAAGGAAUUGACGGGG
Molecule: ribosomal RNA, 392 nt
Filed under: uncultured bacterium
Lineage: Bacteria
Description: partial 16S ribosomal RNA
Rfam family: Bacterial small subunit ribosomal RNA
Source: RNAcentral